AAAGACUUAGUCCUAACCUUACUGUUAGUUGUUGCUAGGUUUAUACAUGCAAGUAUCCGCGCACAGUGCGUAUGCCCUGGACACCUUGAACCCCAAGUAGAUAGGAGCUGGCAUCAGGCUCACCACUAUCGUAGCCCAAGACGCCUAGCAAUUGCCACGUCCCCACGGAUUAUCAGCAGUAGUUAAUAUUAAGCAAUGAGUGUAAACUUGACUUAGCCAUAGCAAACUUCAGGGUCGGUAAAUCCUGUGCCAGCCACCGCGGUCAUACAGGAGACCCAAAUUAACGUUAUAACGGCGUAAAGAGUGGUCACAUGUUAUCCAAGUAGCUAAGACUAAAAAGCAGCUGAGCUGUCAUAAGCCAAAGAUGCUCAUAAGGCCUCUGCCAUCAAAGAAGAUCUUAGAACAACGAUUAAUUGAACUCCACGAAAGCCAGGGCCCAAACUGGGAUUAGAUACCCCACUAUGCCUGGCCCUAAAUCUUGAUGCUCACCUUACCUGAGUAUCCGCCCGAGAACUACGAGCACAAACGCUUAAAACUCUAAGGACUUGGCGGUGUUCCAAACCCACCUAGAGGAGCCUGUUCUGUAAUCGAUGAUCCACGAUAUUACCUGACCAUUUCUUGCCAAAAACAGCCUAUAUACCGCCGUCGCCAGCUCACCUUCCCUGACAGCCCAACAGUGAGCGCAAUAGCCCAACCCCGCUAGUAAGACAGGUCAAGGUAUAGCCUAUGGAAUGGAAGCAAUGGGCUACAUUUUCUAAGUUAGAACAUAACGGCAAAGGGAUAUGAAACUGUCCCUGGAAGGAGGAUUUAGCAGUAAAGUGGGACAAUCGAGCCCUCUUUAAACCGGCUCUGGAGCACGUACAUACCGCCCGUCACCCUCCUCGCAAGCGACCAACACACCCUAUAACUAAUAAGCCAUCCAGCUAAAGAUGAGGUAAGUCGUAACAAGGUAAGUGUACCGGAAGGUGCACUUAGACUAC
RNAcentral lists this non-coding RNA (980 nucleotides) under Larvivora namiyei. RNAcentral's name for it is "12S rRNA". It matches the Rfam family "Bacterial small subunit ribosomal RNA". The record is from RNAcentral. Lineage: Eukaryota; Metazoa; Chordata; Aves; Passeriformes; Muscicapidae.